Molecule: transfer RNA, 75 nt
Filed under: Nannocystis exedens
Lineage: Bacteria; Pseudomonadati; Myxococcota; Nannocystales; Nannocystaceae
Description: tRNA_Val_CAC
Rfam family: tRNA
About the family: Transfer RNA (tRNA) molecules are approximately 80 nucleotides in length. Their secondary structure includes four short double-helical elements and three loops (D, anti-codon, and T loops). Further hydrogen bonds mediate the characteristic L-shaped molecular structure. tRNAs have two regions of fundamental functional importance: the anti-codon, which is responsible for specific mRNA codon recognition, and the 3' end, to which the tRNAs corresponding amino acid is attached (by aminoacyl-tRNA synthetases). tRNAs cope with the degeneracy of the genetic code in two manners: having more than one tRNA (with a specific anti-codon) for a particular amino acid; and 'wobble' base-pairing, i.e. permitting non-standard base-pairing at the 3rd anti-codon position.
Source: RNAcentral
GGGCGCGUAACUCAGCGGUAGAGUGCCACCUUCACACGGUGGAAGCCAUAGGUUCGAACCCUAUCGCGCCCACAA